AGAGUUGAUCAUGGCUCAGGAUGAACGCUAGCGACAGGCUUAACACAUGCAAGUCGAGGGGCAGCAUAAAAGUAGCAAUACUUGGUGGCGACCGGCGCACGGGUGAGUAACGCGUAUGCAACCUACCUAUCAGAGGGGAAUAACCCGGCGAAAGUCGGACUAAUACCGCAUAAAACAGGGGCACCGCAUGGUGAUAUUUGUUAAAGAAAUUCGCUGAUAGAUGGGCAUGCGUUCCAUUAGGUAGUUGGUGAGGUAACGGCUCACCAAGCCGACGAUGGAUAGGGGAACUGAGAGGUUGGUCCCCCACACUGGUACUGAGACACGGACCAGACUCCUACGGGAGGCAGCAGUGAGGAAUAUUGGUCAAUGGGCGGGAGCCUGAACCAGCCAAGUCGCGUGAAAGGAAGAAGGAUCUAUGGUUCGUAAACUUCUUUUGCAGGGGAAUAAAGUGCAGGACGUGUCCUGUUUUGUAUGUACCCUGAGAAUAAGGAUCGGCUAACUCCGUGCCAGCCGCAGC
Molecule: ribosomal RNA, 517 nt
Filed under: uncultured bacterium
Lineage: Bacteria
Description: bacterial SSU rRNA
Rfam family: Bacterial small subunit ribosomal RNA
Source: RNAcentral